Molecule: long non-coding RNA, 1566 nt
Organism: Cylas formicarius (sweet potato weevil)
Lineage: Eukaryota; Metazoa; Arthropoda; Insecta; Coleoptera; Brentidae
Exons: 3
Source: RefSeq, a predicted model, not a curated record
UGCUUUGGUGGCACAUGUUCAUUUUUAUUCGGCGUCGGUGUUUUCAGCUUUUUUCAGCGUUUUUGGAAGUUAAAUGGAGAAGUACAAGUGAGAUUUACGUUAUUCCUUAUCGGAUGAAGAAAGAACCUACCUACGACGAAAGAUUAAAUCUUUCCAUCCGCGAUUACAUAAUCGCUAGUGGCGUGGUUCCCAUCAACGAGAUUUUCUUACAAUUGGGAGACGAUUUCUUCAUCGUCCGGGUUCCGAUCGGAAUCCCCAGAACUCGAAAGACCCCCCAUCUUUCCCACUUAUACGACAGCAGUCGUAUGUAAGUGUUUCACAAUUGGAAGCAAUCCUUUUGUGAGGGGGUCGGCCAUACAUAUGGUUUUAUAUUUUUUCGACAUCGAAAAAAUAGAGUUUUCUGGCUCGUCCGGCUAUGGAUGAGGCGCCCGGGAUACUGGGACAUAAUGAACAAUUUUUUAUGGCUGUUGGAAUGCAUUUACUCCAUCCUAUGGGGUCGAUAGUCCCAACACAAAGUUUGAUGUGUCAUGACAUUUUGGCAAGUCAGAUUAAUACCUUUUUGAAAUCCGGUGUGUCCGAAGAUUGUCUCAGUGACCUUUUGCGUUGAUAUCCUGUGCCGAAGAAUUGCCCGCUCAAUAACUCUCCUAAAUUGAAUGUGCAGAUGAAAUCUGCCAUCAACAAAGGUGGAAAGAAAAGGGAUGAGAGACUGACUGCAACAAGGGGUGCUUUGAUGGUGGUUGGUAGGGCGCUCUUGACCUUACUUUUGAAACCGGUUAAGGAUGAGUAGUACUUACUUCUCAUCGAAAUGUUGAGUAAUGCAAUAUUUGUUUUAAGCAAAAUACACCAUUUAGGUUCAGUAUAUAGAAGUUCAGCCGCGUUAAGCCUUUCGCUGGUCUCAAAUGAAAUGCAGCCUUGUAUGAAGGAAGUGCUCGUUGAUGCUUCUUUGCACUCUUGUUUAUAUGGAGAAGAUUUGGCUGAUAGGCUCAAAUCAAUCAGAUUAGCUGCAGAUUAGUGGCCGAGUUAAAGUCAGGUGCAUCCGGAACAAGGCUUUUAUAGCAUACAAAUUUAAACUCGACCGUCCCACUUCGUUCCCGGAAGUUGCAAGGCUGAAGUGGGUGAAAGUCAUUGUACCCUCAAAAGAGGGAAUACAGGAAGGUUCGAGAGGAAAGGGGGUGGAGUUGUGUCCCCAGGAAAAAAUAAACUCGACAUGCCUCAACAUCGUCUGCGUUUUGUAAAGGUGUUUCAAUUGAUAUGAUUGGAAAAACGGCAGAUUGGUGAGAAUGCUCUAAAUGUUUUCCCCUUUUUUAUAAUAGACCUAUUUGUACAGCAAGUGCAGGCCUUUUUGUUAAUGCCACAUUUGGGACAUAGAAUUUUUCAGAAGGUUUGUUUUCUCGGAUAGCCAUUUAUUUUGUAUUUGUACUCGAGGCUUUCAUAAACUUCCUGGAUUUCCUUAUAUAGCCGAAUAAAAUCGUUUUAUAACAAAUUUGCUGAGUUGCCUUUGAAAGUCUACGUAUAUUGAUUUCAUAGAAGAGGUGUAACAUAUAAUUCAAUGAUCAAACGAACUUA